Molecule: transfer RNA, 61 nt
Filed under: Eurypogon sp. EUR01
Lineage: Eukaryota; Metazoa; Arthropoda; Insecta; Coleoptera; Artematopodidae
Description: tRNA-Ser
Source: RNAcentral
GAAAUAUAAAAUUAAAGCUUCUAACUUUAUAAAUAGCGAUCAAAUAAACGUUAAUAUUUCU